This 468-nucleotide ribosomal RNA is filed under the name uncultured bacterium. RNAcentral describes it as "partial 16S ribosomal RNA". It matches the Rfam family "Bacterial small subunit ribosomal RNA", at positions 28 to 507 of the family's 1533-position model. The record is from RNAcentral.
GACGAACGCUGGCGGCGUGCUUAACACAUGCAAGUCGAACGGAAAGGCCCUGCUUUUGUGGGGUGCUCGAGUGGCGAACGGGUGAGUAACACGUGAGUAACCUGCCCUUGACUUUUGGAUAACUUCAGGAGUCUGGGGCUAAUACCGUAUACGAGCUCCUGCUGCAUGGGGGGGGUUGGAAAGUUUCGGCGGUUGGGGAUGGACUCGCGGCUUAUCAGUGUGUUGGUGGGGGAGUGGCUUACCAAGGCUUUGACGGAUAGCCGGCCUGAGAGGGUGCGCGGCCACAUUGGGACUGAGAUGCGGCACAGACCCCUACGGGAGGCAGCAGUGGGGAAUAUUGCACAAUGGGCGGAAGCCUGAUACAGCAACGGCGCGUGCGGGAUGACGGCCUUCGGGUUGUACCCCGCUUUCGCCUGUGACGAAGCGUGAGUGACGGUAAUGGGUAAAGAAGCACCGGCUAACUACGUG